UGGGGAAUAUUGCACAAUGGGCGCAAGCCUGAUGCAGCCACGCCGCGUGUAUGAAGAAGGCCUUCGGGUUGUAAAGUACUUUCAGCGAGGAGGAAGGCGUUGUGGUUAAUAACCGCAGCGAUUGACGUUACUCGCAGAAGAAGCACCGGCUAACUCCGUGCCAGCAGCCGCGGUAAUACGGAGGGUGCAAGCGUUAACCGGAAUUACUGGGCGUAAAGCGCACGCAGGCGGUCUGUCAAGUCGGAUGUGAAAUCCCCGGGCUCAACCUGGGAACUGCAUCCGAAACUGGCAGGCUAGAGUCUUGUAGAGGGGGGUAGAAUUCCAGGUGUAGCGGUGAAAUGCGUAGAGAUCUGGAGGAAUACCGGUGGCGAAGGCGGCCCCCUGGACAAAGACUGACGCUCAGGUGCGAAAGCGUGGGGAGCAAACA
RNAcentral lists this ribosomal RNA (427 nucleotides) under uncultured bacterium. Its description in RNAcentral is "partial 16S ribosomal RNA". It matches the Rfam family "Bacterial small subunit ribosomal RNA", at positions 355 to 774 of the family's 1533-position model. The record is from RNAcentral.